CAGAUAUAAUCAAAUGCAAAAUCAUUACAUGAUUGUACCUUCUUUUUUUUUGGUCUUUUUAAGGCUGCAGCUGAGACAUAUGGAAAGUUCCCCAGCUAGGGGUCGAAUAGGAGCUGCCGCUUCUGGUCUACACCCCGGCCACGGCAACCCCACAUCCAGGCCGUGUCUGUGACCUACACCACAGCUCAUGACAAUGCCAGAUCCUUAACCCACUGAGCGAGGCCAGGGAUCAAACUCACAUCCUCAUGGAUCCUAGUUGGGUUUGCAACCCGCUGAGACACAACAGGAAGUCCCUAAAAUGAUUGUCCUUUUAACGUGAGGAUGUAAGUGGACUAGCUGUCAUGCUUUCUAGUUAGUUCUAAUAGACUUUUCAUGAGCCGGGAAGUUACAAAACAGUAGUUACAAUGACAUAUAAUUUAGUUUCAUAUUAUCUUGCACAAGAGAAAUUCUUAUAAAUUAAUUUAAAAAUACUGUGUGAAAGGGAAUGAGGUUUUGAAGGAGAAGUCUUGGGUUUGGGUUCUGGGUGGACCGUUGAACUCUUCAUCCUCAGCCAGCUCAUUGUCAUGGGCUUCCAGAGAAAUGAUCUAUUAAGAAGUGCUGCUAAGAGUAACUCUUCCAUUGAGUUGCUGAAAGAGCCUCGCGGAAAGCUAAUUUCUGUAAAAGAAUGCAGCCAGCUGCAGAGCUCAGUGCAAAUUUAGAGCUGUCAUAAAAGUAAUAGUCCUCGCUUUAAAUAGCAAUAUACAUACAUUUUUCUUUUAGAACUUUAUUCAUAAGAAAUUAAUAUGAAUAGUAAUAGUAAUUCUAUUACUCCAGUAGUAAUUCUAAUUCCUUCAGUAGUAAAACGAAGUGUAAUUUCUUUGCCUACAUUUGAUAGCAAGACAAUAAUGUUUAAGGCUUUCAUAGGUUUAAUAGAUAAUGGAGAUUAGAACUCUUUAAAAAUGAUCUCAUUUGUCCUUGAAUAAUAAAAAGACACUGCAGUCACAUUAGUAUUCCGUUGGCUUUUUUUAUUUUAUCCCAACUUUCUGAGCUAUUUCUUAAAGACUCAUUGAAUAUUUUGCCACCUCUUUGGGAACUCGCAAAAUGAUAUUUAGGGAAGGAUUCUUUUUUAGAACGUUACUAGGUAAGCAACAUGGGCAGAUGUGUUCCAGGUUCAUCCACCAUCCUGGUGACAGGUAAGGGCUCUUGGAAGAAAACCUCAGGAAGAGAUGAAAGGCCCUAUUUCUGGGGAAGGGGGCCUCUAGAAGGCAGAAGGCCCUCUUCUCAUGAAGGAAGCGCAUCUGCUGGAGGCCUGGAGAGGGGUCUUUGCCGAAGGGCAACGGGAGUCUUUGAGCAGCCGCUGGUCCAUUUCCUGUUAACACAAAGCCAUCAUUUCCCUCCUGAUGAAAGCACUUUGGAGCUCAGACUGGAUGACUUGGCGCUAAAGUCACCCUGCCUGGGAGUCUUUCUUCCCGGAUAGAGAGUGGGUUACUGAAGACCCAGGGAGAGAUGGGCUGGGGCGGUCUGCCUUCCGUGGCCUGUGCCCCUCCACCAAGGAUGAGAUUGAGGUGGGCAGGAGAGAGGAAAGAUGACGUCGCUGCUUCCUGGCCCUCUUUGAUUGGCCCCUAUGCUCCUCCAGCCUAUAACUCCUGCUGUUCUAAACGUGGGCAGUGUGGAAGACGUGAUGGUAGCUUGUCGUGACACCAGGCUCGGCUGAUGGACGGUCCACGUGCAGAGGGAACCCAUCCCAUGUGGUGUCAAACCCUAGUUUGCUGGGGAACCUUAGAGCAACGAGUAGACUUAGUGUCUUGAGCCAAAAAGCUGAAAGGCAAAAGAGAGUAAAGCUAUCAUCUCAAUGAGAAUGUCUUUCCUAAACCAUUCAGUCUUCUCAAAACAGGAUGGGUAAGAAAGUGUGUUGUGUUGCCAGCACGUGCUCAGAAACACGGUGGGGGCGUCAGACGUCCUGAGAGAGGACUACAUGGCUGGAGCAUCACACCCAUUCUCCUGGCCAGGAGUUUACAUCCAUCAGAUUGAAAAUACUGUGUCUCCAACGCAGCAUAAAGCAUGGCCAUGCAUCCUGGACCACCUUAGAAUUCGUUCUGCCCGGAAACAAUCCCUUUGUGUUUUCCAUCCCGUGGCAUGAUUCUCUGCCUGACUCUAGUUUUGGCAGAACUUUUGCUUCAGCCUGUCGUGUCGGAAUUCAGCUCAGGGCUGGGAUGUUUGCCUUCCGAGAAGUUACUGGCAAGCCCCCGCUCUUGGUUUGUUUUCAGAUUUGCUGGCUGGCUGAUCUCCAAGCUUGUCCAUCAGCCAGAAAGCAUGUAUUCUGCAAAUCACAACUGGAAAUCAUCCCUGGAGCCAGGCCAGGCUGCCCGUUUCGGAAGAUAAAGUGUGCUCCACGUGGGAAUCACAGCGACAGAAUGGAUGUGUUUUAUUUUUCAUAAUGCUUGAGCCGUAAAUGUGAGCUAACGAGAGAGAGCGCCUGUCAAAUACCUCACAGGUUAGGUGGGUAGUGGACAUGCCAAAUACAGUCCUUUCUCUUCUUCUUGUACCUCUUUUCUCCCUUCACUUUGCAAGUGAAGACGUAACGUGUUAGGGAUGGUUACCUAAAGCUUCUGAAAGGUCGUCAGUACGACACGGGGCGCGUGUGUGUGUGUGUGUGUGUGUGUGUGUGUGUGUGUGUGUGUGUGUAUAGGAUUACAGUGUCUAAUGGUACAUUUCCUGGGGACUAAGUUUAAGCUAUGCAAAAUGACAAGAGCAGUCUAAUGAUCACAAUGUAACACGCUGUCAAUUGAAGUGUAACUGCUUACCCUAAUGCCCCGUUGAAAGCUGAUAAGCAACUCUGCUUCGGAUACAAUGUAACGCCUAUCUUAGGACCACCUGAAGUGCAUGAGCAUCAAAGGUGGGAGCAAGGCCGAGGCCUUGAACACGUCCAUGACUCCACCACUGCUAGUAAGUACAUUUCUGAAUCCACCUCCACCAACUCCAUCAGGGCUUUAAACCCCCUUCUGCUGGAGCUUUUCCCCCGAUCUUGUAACCGAGCCGAUGCCCUAUGGGGCUCCUGGGCACACGAGCCUCGCUGUGUCCUCCAUGGCUUGUUUUUAGGAAGGAAGCCUCAGCCUCCAUGACCUACCCUAAGUUCCAAAGGGCAGGUUUACACAGAUGCAAGUCAGGGAAGGGAGGGGAAGCAGAGACUGGAGAGGAGGAGCCUUCAAGACGCAGUGGUGCAGGAGCGCCCGUCGUGGCUCUGUGGACUCAAAGCUGACUAGCAUCCAUGAGGAUGCAGGUUUGAACCUUGGCCUCUCGCAGUGGGUUAAGCAUCUGACGUUGCCAUGAGCUGUGGUGUAGGUUGCAGAUGCAGCUCAAUCUGAUGUUGCUGCAGCUGUGGCGUAGGCCGGCAGCUGCAGCGCCAAUUCAACCCCGAGCCUGGGAGCUUCCAUAUGCUGCAGGGUCAGCCCUAAAAAGCCAAAAAAGAAAAAAAA
Molecule: long non-coding RNA, 3455 nt
Filed under: Sus scrofa (pig)
Lineage: Eukaryota; Metazoa; Chordata; Mammalia; Artiodactyla; Suidae
Description: lncRNA (ENSSSCG00025005133.1)
Source: RNAcentral